GCUACGGCACCAUGGCGG
Molecule: unclassified non-coding RNA, 18 nt
Filed under: Chlamydomonas reinhardtii
Lineage: Eukaryota; Viridiplantae; Chlorophyta; Chlorophyceae; Chlamydomonadales; Chlamydomonadaceae
Description: small RNA Cre_1774
Source: RNAcentral